GAUGAACGCUAGCGAUAGGCCUAACACAUGCAAGUCGAGGGGCAUCACAUGAAGUAGCAAUACGGAUGGUGGCGACCGGCGCACGGGUGAGUAACACGUAUGCAACCUGCCUUCAACAAGGGGAUAACCCGUUGAAAGACGGACUAAUACCCUAUAACACAGGGGUCCCGCAUGGGAAUAUUUGUUAAAGGACAACCGGUUGAAGAUGGGCAUGCGUUCCAUUAGCUAGUUGGCGGGGUAACGGCCCACCAAGGCAACGAUGGAUAGGGGAACUGAGAGGUUUAUCCCCCACACUGGUACUGAGACACGGACCAGACUCCUACGGGAGGCAGCAGUGAGGAAUAUUGGUCAAUGGACGCAAGUCUGAACCAGCCACGUCGCGUGAAGGAAGACGGCCCUACGGGUUGUAAACUUCUUUUAUACGGGAAUAAAGUGCCCCACGCGUGGGGUUUUGCAUGUACCGUAUGAAUAAGGAUCGGCUAACUCCGUGCCAGCAGCCGC
RNAcentral lists this ribosomal RNA (501 nucleotides) under uncultured bacterium. RNAcentral describes it as "bacterial SSU rRNA". It matches the Rfam family "Bacterial small subunit ribosomal RNA", at positions 28 to 518 of the family's 1533-position model. The record is from RNAcentral.